UCCAGACUCCUACGGGAGGCAGCAGUGGGGGAUAUUGCACAAUGGGGGGAACCCUGAUGCAGCGACGCCGCGUGGGUGAAGGAGCGUUUCGGCGCGUAAAGCCCUAUCGGCAGGGAAGAAGGAGGACGGUACCUGACUAAGAAGCCCCGGCUAACUACGUGCCAGCAGCCGCGGUAAUACGUAGGGGGCAAGCGUUAUCCGGAUUUACUGGGUGUAAAGGGGGCGCAGACGGCAGCGCAAGCCAGGAGUGAAAGCCCGCGGCUCAACUGCGGGACUGCUUUUGGAACUAUCUAGCUAGAUUGCAGGAGAGGUAAGUGGAAUUCCUAGUGUAGCGGUGAAAUGCGUAGAUAUUAGGAGGAACACCAGUGGCGAAGGCGGCUUACUGGACUGUAAAUGACGCUGAGGCUCGAAAGCGUGGGGAGCAAACAGGAUUAGAUACCCCAGUAGU
RNAcentral lists this ribosomal RNA (448 nucleotides) under uncultured bacterium. RNAcentral's name for it is "partial 16S ribosomal RNA". It matches the Rfam family "Bacterial small subunit ribosomal RNA", at positions 330 to 794 of the family's 1533-position model. The record is from RNAcentral.